Molecule: ribosomal RNA, 40 nt
Filed under: Perebea guianensis
Lineage: Eukaryota; Viridiplantae; Streptophyta; Magnoliopsida; Rosales; Moraceae
Also listed under: 1 other name
Description: partial 18S ribosomal RNA
Source: RNAcentral
GAUCAUUGUCGAAACCUACCCGCCAGAAUGACCCGCGAAC